This 2073-nucleotide ribosomal RNA is filed under the name Clostridioides difficile. Its description in RNAcentral is "partial 23S ribosomal RNA". It matches the Rfam family "Bacterial large subunit ribosomal RNA", at positions 614 to 2703 of the family's 2925-position model. Lineage: Bacteria; Bacillati; Bacillota; Clostridia; Peptostreptococcales; Peptostreptococcaceae. The record is from RNAcentral.
AACGGGCCAACGAGUUACGUUAAGUAGCAAGGUUAAGCACUUAAGGUGCGGAGCCGUAGCGAAAGCGAGUUUUAACUGAGCGUUCAGUUACUUGACGUAGACCCGAAACCGGGCGACCUACCCAUGAGCAGGAUGAAGCGAAAGUAAAAUUUCGUGGAGGUCCGAACCCACGAGCGUUGAAAAGCUCGGGGAUGACUUGUGGGUAGCGGUGAAAUUCCAAUCGAGCCCGGAGAUAGCUGGUUCUCCCCGAAAUAGCUUUAGGGCUAGCCUCAAGGUGAGAGAUACGGAGGUAGAGCACUGAAUGUCCUAGGGGGUAUUGCACCUACCGAAGACUAUCAAACUCCGAAUGCCGUCAUCUUAUACUUGGGAGUCAGACUGUGGGUGAUAAGAUUCAUAGUCGAAAGGGCAACAGCCCAGAUCGUCAGCUAAGGUCCCUAAAUGUAAGUUAAGUGGUAAAGGAUGUGGGAUUGCACAGACAACCAGGAUGUUGGCUUAGAAGCAGCCACUCAUUCAAAGAGUGCGUAAUAGCUCACUGGUCGAGUGAUCCUGCGCCGAAGAUUUCCGGGGCUAAAACUUACUACCGAAGCUACGGCAUCAGUAAUGAUGGGUAGGGGAGCUUCCCAUACGGGUUGAAGCAUGACCGUAAGGACAUGUGGACAGUAUGGGAGUGAGAAUGUUGGCAUGAGUAGCGAGAUGUGGGUGAGAAUCCCACAGGCCGUAAACCCAAGGUUUCCAGGGGAAGGUUCGUCCGCCCUGGGUUAGUCGGGACCUAAGCUGAGGCCGAAAGGCGUAGGUGAUGGACAACAGGUUGAUAUUCCUGUACUACCGAUAACCGUUUGAGAGAAGGGAUGACACAGUAGGAUAAGCUAAGCACACUGUUGGUUAUGUGUGCCCAAGCAUUGAGGCAGUCAAAGUAGGCAAAUCCGCUUUGAUAAUGCUGGGAUGUGAUGGGGAGCGAAAUUUAGUAGCGAAGUAGCUGAUUUCACACUGUCAAGAAAAGUCUCUAUCGAGGUUAAAGGUACCCGUACCGCAAACCGACACAGGUGGGUGAGGAGAGUAUCCUAAGGCCAGCGAGAGAACUGUUGUUAAGGAACUCGGCAAAAUGACCCCGUAACUUAGGGAUAAGGGGUGCCACCAUCAGGUGGCCGCAGAGAAUAGGCCCAAGCGACUGUUUACCAAAAACAUAGGUUUCUGCUAAGUCGCAAGACGAUGUAUAGGAGCUGACGCCUGCCCGGUGCUGGAAGGUUAAGGGGAUCUGUUAGAGCAAUCGAAGCAGUGAACUUAAGCCCCAGUAAACGGCGGCCGUAACUAUAACGGUCCUAAGGUAGCGAAAUUCCUUGUCGGGUAAGUUCCGACCCGCACGAAAGGCGUAACGAUUUGGGCACUGUCUCAACAACAGACUCGGUGAAAUUGUAAUUCCGGUGAAGAUGCCGGAUACCUGCGACAGGACGGAAAGACCCCAUGGAGCUUUACUGUAGCUUGACAUUGGGUCUUGGUACUACAUGUACAGGAUAGGUGGGAGGCUUUGAAACCAGGACGCCAGUUUUGGCGGAGCCAUCCUUGGGAUACCACCCUUGUAGUACUGGGACUCUAACCAUAGGCCAUGAAUCUGGUCUUGGGACACUGUCAGGUGGGCAGUUUGACUGGGGCGGUCGCCUCCCAAAAGGUAACGGAGGCGCUCAAAGGUUCUCUCAGUACGGUCGGAAAUCGUACGUAGAGUGUAAAGGCAAAAGAGAGCUUGAUUGCAAGACAUACAGGUCGAGCAAGGAUGAAAAUCGGACUUAGUGAUCCGGUGGUUCUGCGUGGAAGGGCCAUCGCUCAACGGAUAAAAGCUACCCUGGGGAUAACAGGCUUAUCUCCCCCAAGAGUCCACAUCGACGGGGAGGUUUGGCACCUCGAUGUCGGCUCAUCACAUCCUGGGGCUGUAGUAGGUCCCAAGGGUUGGGCUGUUCGCCCAUUAAAGUGGUACGCGAGCUGGGUUCAGAACGUCGUGAGACAGUUCGGUCCCUAUCCGUCGCAGGCGUAGGAAAUUUGAGAAGACCUGUCCUUAGUACGAGAGGACCGGGAUGGACG